Molecule: non-coding RNA, 1345 nt
Organism: Peromyscus maniculatus bairdii (prairie deer mouse)
Lineage: Eukaryota; Metazoa; Chordata; Mammalia; Rodentia; Cricetidae
Source: RefSeq, a predicted model, not a curated record
GAGGGAACCAGAUCUCAUUAUAGAUGGUUGUGAGCCACCAUGUGGUUGCUGGGAAUUGAACUCAGGACCUUUGGAAGAACAGCCAGUGCUCUUAACUGCUGAGCCAUCUCUCCAGCCCAAGGGUUGAGACUUAAGGAGGUUGUCGUUCAAGGUUCUGAGAGGCAGCCGUUCACAAGCCUUGCGGCCCCUGGUGGGCAGGGAGUCAGCUGCCCUGGGAGAGCUCCAACUGCAGAAAGAAGAACUCAUGGACAAGUGCAUGGUCCUGGAAGAGUAGCUUCGGAAGCAGGAAGGUGAAUACAAGAACUACAUCCACAACCCAGAGAGGGUGUUGAAACAUCUCAGCCACAGUCGUGGGAGGCAAGGAGCAUGCUGCUGUGGGAAACAUUGACAGGCCAUGCUGGAGAGCCAUCAGAAGCCGAGAAUUACGGAUAUAGUCACACAGUGCUGCCCUGAAAGCCCCCAUAUUCUGUGAAGAGGACUGACAUGCUUGCUGGAUGGACUGCUGGACCACGUCUACUGAAGACAAUCUUUCUGCAGGGCUGCGUGCAUGAAAACAUCAAAGUCUAAAGAAAGACCUGGCCCUUGUCCCAGUUUGGAAAGCUCUGGAUGGUUCUCCCAGUUUUGGAACUUCCAGCAGGUUCCCCCGAGGCACUGUGGAGAGAGAGCCAAGAGUCAGCAUCUCCAUCAUUCUUCUCCUUCCCUUCCAAAUGUGGUGCCAUGAGAGGACUGCCUAGUAGCAAAUCACCUGCAUGUCAAUUUCCAUUUCAAAGUAGGUGUGUUAGGCAGCGUUCCAGGACUGUGACAAAAUAUCUGAGACUGUCAACUUAAAGAGAGGAAAAUCAACUUAAAGACGACCAACUUAAAGGAUGCUCCAGCUUUGCCUGAACGUGGAUGCCCAAGGAAGAUGACACUAACUACAGUCCUGAUGAAUGCAUCUGUAUCACUCAUGAUCAUUCAGUCCUGUUUGCCUCGGUUGAUCUGAAAAGGACAAAUGACCCAAGUCUACCAAAUGAAUCACAAGGGCUAUUUACUAGAUGUAUGGUGACAAGAAACCCUCUGAAGGGCUAGGAAGACAAGCUGCAUUUUCCCAUCAGAUAUAGGGAUGCCUGGGAGGCAGAGAAGCCAUCUUGUCCUGCAAGAGGACAAGGACAAAACACAGAGAGGUGGUGAUGAUGGUGCUGUGGAUUGAACUCAGGACCUUGCCCAUUCUAGGCAAGCAUACUACCAUUGACUACAUCCCUGAGCCAUCUGUGUUGUUGUUUUUUUAAACUUGUAGGCUCUUUCUUCCUCCUCCUCCUCCUCUUCAUCCUCCUCCUCCUCCUCUUCCUCCUCCUCCUUAUUCUUA